UACGGGGGGGGCAAGCGUUGUUCGGAAUUACUGGGCGUAAAGGGCUCGUAGGCGGCCAACUAAGUCGGAUGUGAAAUCCCCAGGCUUAACCUGGGAACUGCAUCCGAUACUGGAUGGCUUGAAUCCGGGAGAGGGAUGCGGAAUUCCAGGUGUAGCGGUGGAAUGCGUAGAGAUCCGGAAGAACACCGGUGGCGAAGGCGGCCUGCUGGGCAGUUUUGCUGACACUGAGGCGCGAAAGCGUGGGGAGCAAACAGG
Molecule: ribosomal RNA, 255 nt
Filed under: uncultured bacterium
Lineage: Bacteria
Description: partial 16S ribosomal RNA
Rfam family: Bacterial small subunit ribosomal RNA
Source: RNAcentral